GACGAACGCUGGCGGCGUGCUUAACACAUGCAAGUCGAACGGAAAGGCCUGCUUUCCCCUGUGGAUUGCGGGUGCUCGAGUGGCGAACGGGUGAGUAACACGUGAGUGAUCUGCCCCCAACUUGGGUAUAAGCCCGGGAAACUGGGUCUAAUUCCCGAUAGGACUGCAGGGUGGUGCCUGUGGUGGAAAACGAUUUUCUAGUGGUUGGGGAUGAGCUCGCGGCCUAUCAGCUUGUUGGUGGGGUAAUGGCCUACCAAGGCGGCGACGGGUAGCCGGCCUGAGAGGGUGGACGGCCACAUUGGGACUGGGAUACGGCCCAGACUCCUACGGGAGGCAGCAGUGGGGAAUAGUGCACAAUGGGCGGAAGCCUGAUGCAGCGACGCCGCGUGGGGGAUGACGGCCUUCGGGUUGUAAACUCCUUUCGACCGCGGGGAAGCCACCUGGUUGGAAGGGUGGUGACGGUAGUGGUAGAAGAAGCACCGGCUAACUACGUG
Molecule: ribosomal RNA, 494 nt
Filed under: uncultured bacterium
Lineage: Bacteria
Description: partial 16S ribosomal RNA
Rfam family: Bacterial small subunit ribosomal RNA
Source: RNAcentral